GUAUAACCUGGAUUGGGAGGUGGAGUUUAUAUUCUGUCUUCUGAGAUCAUCAACCUCACUUUUCCUAGGACAGAAAAACCCAGGACUACUCUGCUCCUCAAAGUCCUUCUUUUAACCUCCUAUAUCCACUUCACUUUUAAGAGGACAUUCAAAAACUCUGAUUCAGCUCCAAUCUGAAUUAGUGGAAAAACAGAAAUGGGCAAGUCCCCAUUAACCUGAUAAGGGAUAGGAAAAGACUAUUUCUUACUAAUAGAAGCCCCCGGAAGUUUUUAUUAUUCCUGUGAAAUCCAGGAUAGGACUUGGCGGCUGAUAAUGUAGGAAAUGCAAUACAUUUUAUAUCAUUUUGUAAUGGCACAGCCUUACAAUUUUCACGCACCUCUAAGAAUAUCUAGGACUAAAAUCCCACUAUAAGCUAUUUGGAUAGCCAAGUGAGGAAGAAUAUUCUUUGUUCACCGCUACAUUGACUUCACUUCUCUGUGAUUGGGAAGCCUGAAAGUGAUACAGACGUGACUAUUCAACCUUUCCCUGAAGAUUUCAGGUUGGUAACCUAGAGGGCAGGGGCAUCCAGAGCAUUGUAUAACUUUACUUGAUCUCUGAUGCCUGCUGUGAACUACAACCCACUAGCGGUUUAUGGAAUCAAUUUAAUGGGUUGCAAUCAGUAUUUGAAAAAAAAUUAAUAGAAUAAAAUAAAAUAAAAGUACUUGGUUGUAUCACAUGUAGUAAGGAAGGAGUGUUCUAUAAAACUUUUAUUUAUGUUAGAUAUAGAUGUGUUUACCAGAAAAUUACUAAAAUGUAGAUACUCCAAAAAUGCUUGAAAAUGGCUGCUGUAUAAAACAACAUAUAGAAAAAAAUUGUAAAUCAAUAAGGACACUCUCAUAUAAUGUGAUUCUUUAAUAACAUGAACUCACAAAUCAGGAGAGAUUUGAAAUGCUUUUGAAGUGAAAGCAUUAAACAUGAAGUCUCCUAGAAAACCUUGGAUCACAGUUUUUAUAUACUUUCCCCAUAAAAUUUCCAUACUCACAAAUCAAAAAUGCUUUAUACAUGAUUUAGUGGAUUCAUAGACAUGGAAAAUUCAAUCUAGAAUUGUUUAGAAAUCUUACUUUAAAUAUUUUUAAGCUCCCAAAUUUUCCUUAGAAAAUAAUAAAAUCUCCUUGUCCUUAUGAGGAAGCAAAACUCUAGAUCUAAAUAUUCUGAAUGUGCUUAUGUAAGUAAAUACAAAUUUUUAUUCUAAUCUAACACUGACUCAAUGGACAUGAGUUUGGGUAAACUCAUGGAGUUGGUGAUGGACAGGGAGGCCUGGCAUGCUGCGGUUCAUGGGGUC
RNAcentral lists this long non-coding RNA (1321 nucleotides) under Capra hircus (goat). Its description in RNAcentral is "lncRNA (ENSCHIG00010001572.1)". Lineage: Eukaryota; Metazoa; Chordata; Mammalia; Artiodactyla; Bovidae. The record is from RNAcentral.